GGUCCAAAAAUGUAAACCCAGCAAUCCGACCGAAGACUCCGGUCUCCUCUCCAAAGUCCAAACGGAAAAACAAAAGAAAAAAAGAAAAGAAAACCUAAGAAAAAAUGCUGCUGCCCACCCCGUGACGCCGCCACCACGCAAGAGCGGCGAGACCCAUCUUGCAGACCCACGCGACACCCAUCUCGCCGUGACGCCGCUACUGGCUUUGAUCUUAAAAGCAAUGCCAGACUUCUAUCAAAUGAUACCUUUUUAAAUAUUUUAUGAACAGGUAUUAACUUGCAACUCAGUCUGAUGAGCGCCUAUACAUAUGUAAGAGUGUGCUAUGGUGCCAUAUUUGAAUUUCUUUGGGACACAACUAACUUCAAAAAAGUAAAAUAAAAUAACAGGUGUCUGUCUCUCUUGAUGACACAAUAAUUCUACAUGAGGGUGGGGAUAAGAAGCUGAUUGAAGAAAGAUGUGCAGAGGCACCUGCAUUCACAAUAGCCUCAAAUGCUGGUUUUGAUGGUGCACUGUUUAUUGGCAAAUUGUUGGAACAAGAUAAUCAUAAUUUGGGUUUUGAUGCUGCUAAAGGUGUAUAUGUUGACAUGGUGGAGGAGAGAAUCAGAGAUCCUCUCAAAGUGGUUAGAACGGCUUUAGUCGACGCUGCCAGGAUUUGCUCUUCUUCACCUCUGAAUCUAUCAAAAGGGCUGCUUUGCAAGCUAUCAGCAAUGACCAAGUUUCUGUUCCUAGCCUUAAGGACAACUCUGCUGUUGGUUGGCUUCUCUGCUGGUAGGUGACAAAUGCAAUUUCAAAGUUAACAUUGAGUUGGAGCUUGGAUUUGCCUAGAGUCUGCGCAUUAUCAAGAUGCCUGAAUUGAUGGAGUGCUUUUUGAUCAACACCACCGUUUGGCUAGGCCACUGGUGAACUCAGGAGAACGAGGCUGCCCCAGAACUCUCAACUGGUUAAACUUGUUUGCUACCAAACUGAUUUGUGGGGUGGAUAGAAGAGUCUUGCCGACCACUGAGCCUCUACUAUGAGAUUCAAUGUUUUGUGAAUAGCAAAUUAAAUCUUCAAAAUAUUGUCAAUAUUCUUACCUUACAAUUAACAAAAAAAGAAAAAAAAAAUCUAUAUAAUUUUGAGAUCGCAUUUGAAUAUAUAAUAUAGUUUUUUUCCAA
This is a long non-coding RNA of Quercus lobata, 1154 nucleotides long. RefSeq lists it as uncharacterized. The record is from RefSeq and is a predicted model, not a curated record. The transcript is spliced from 6 exons. NCBI's taxonomy places the organism in Eukaryota, Viridiplantae, Streptophyta, Magnoliopsida, Fagales, Fagaceae.